GUUAAAGAUGCAGUCUGGGAUGAACUUAAGAAAGAGUUUAAUAUCCCUGAGUCAAGAAGAAGUCAUAUUUUGGUCCAUGCACGACUACGUUGGAAAGAUUUCAAAACAAGAUUGGUCCGUGACUUCAUCAACAAACCGAACGAAAAAUAUAGCUCUCCCUGUGAGUUAUAUAAGUUCAUGGAUGAAAAAAAAUGGGAGCAAUUUGUAACCACGCAUGAAACUGAAGCUGCCAAGUCAAAAGUAUAGGGAGUUGCAAGCGCGAAAUGUGCAUCCUCACUAUUUAGG
This is a long non-coding RNA of Ipomoea nil (Japanese morning glory), 285 nucleotides long. RefSeq lists it as uncharacterized. The transcript has 3 exons. Lineage: Eukaryota; Viridiplantae; Streptophyta; Magnoliopsida; Solanales; Convolvulaceae. The record is from RefSeq and is a predicted model, not a curated record.